GUGGGGAAUAUUGGACAAUGGGCGAAAGCCUGAUCCAGCCAUGCCGCGUGUGUGAAGAAGGUCUUCGGAUUGUAAAGCACUUUAAGUUGGGAGGAAGGGCAGUAAGUUAAUACCUUGCUGUUUUGACGUUACCGACAGAAUAAGCACCGGCUAACUUCGUGCCAGCAGCCGCGGUAAUACGAAGGGUGCAAGCGUUAAUCGGAAUUACUGGGCGUAAAGCGCGCGUAGGUGGUUUUGUAAGUUGGAGAUGAAAUCCCCGGGCUCAAACUGGGAACUGCCUCCAAAACUGCAUGACUAGAGUACGGUAGAGGGUAGUGGAAUUUCCUGUGUAGCGGUGAAAUGCGUAGAUAUAGGAAGGAACACCAGUGGCGAAGGCGACUACCUGGACUGAUACUGACACUGAGGUGCGAAAGCGUGGGGAGCAAACAGGAUUAGAAACCCUUGUAGUCC
This 450-nucleotide ribosomal RNA is filed under the name uncultured bacterium. RNAcentral's name for it is "bacterial SSU rRNA". It matches the Rfam family "Bacterial small subunit ribosomal RNA", at positions 354 to 796 of the family's 1533-position model. The record is from RNAcentral.